UGCAACCGAGCAGAGACUGCUUGUGAUUAGC
Molecule: non-coding RNA, 31 nt
Filed under: Rattus norvegicus (Norway rat)
Lineage: Eukaryota; Metazoa; Chordata; Mammalia; Rodentia; Muridae
Source: RNAcentral